Molecule: ribosomal RNA, 466 nt
Filed under: Vreelandella stevensii
Lineage: Bacteria; Pseudomonadati; Pseudomonadota; Gammaproteobacteria; Oceanospirillales; Halomonadaceae
Description: partial 16S ribosomal RNA
Rfam family: Bacterial small subunit ribosomal RNA
Source: RNAcentral
CCUACGGGAGGCAGCAGUGGGGAAUAUUGGACAAUGGGGGGAACCCUGAUCCAGCCAUGCCGCGUGUGUGAAGAAGGCCCUCGGGUUGUAAAGCACUUUCAGUGAGGAAGAACGCCUGGUGGUUAAUACCCAUCAGGAAAGACAUCACUCACAGAAGAAGCACCGGCUAACUCCGUGCCAGCAGCCGCGGUAAUACGGAGGGUGGCGAGCGUUAAUCGGAAUUACUGGGCGUAAAGCGCGCGUAGGUGGCUUGAUAAGCCGGUUGUGAAAGCCCCGGGCUCAACCUGGGAACGGCAUCCGGAACUGUCAAGCUAGAGUGCAGGAGAGGAAGGUAGAAUUCCCGGUGUAGCGGUGAAAUGCGUAGAGAUCGGGAGGAAUACCAGUGGCGAAGGCGGCCUUCUGGACUGACACUGACACUGAGGUGCGAAAGCGUGGGUAGCAAACAGGAUUAGAUACCCCUGUAGUC